CCUACGGGAGGCAGCAGUGAGGAAUAUUGGUCAAUGGGAGAGAUCCUGAACCAGCCAAGCCGCGUGAGGGAAGACGGCCCUAUGGGUUGUAAACCUCUUUUUUCGGAGAACAAAACCCGGGACGUUUCCCGGACUGCGUUUAUCCGAAGAAAAAGCAUCGGCUACCUCCGUGCCAGCAGCCGCGGUAAUCCGGGGGAGGCGAGCGUUAUCCGGAUUUAUUGGGUUUAAGGGGUGCGUGGGCGGUCCGUUAAGUCAGCGGUAAAAUUGCGGGGCUAACCCCCGUCGAGCCGUUGAAACUGGCAGACUUGAGUGCGCGAGAAGUACGCGGAAUGCGCGGUGUAGCGGUGAAAUGCAUAGAUAUCGCGCAGAACACCGAUUGCGAAGGCAGCGUACCGGCGCCAGACUGACGCUGAGGCACGAAAGCGUGGGGAUCGAACAGGAUUAGAUACCCCUGUAGUC
This 459-nucleotide ribosomal RNA is filed under the name uncultured bacterium. Its description in RNAcentral is "partial 16S ribosomal RNA". It matches the Rfam family "Bacterial small subunit ribosomal RNA", at positions 338 to 795 of the family's 1533-position model. The record is from RNAcentral.